CCUAUUGGUCAAAAAUUAUGACCAAUGGGCUUUGAGGAGGCUGCCUGAGGCCAUAUUAGGGAUUAGGGUUAGUUUCUCGAGGCCAUUCGAGUUUUAAAGGCUAGGAUCAGAAGGUUUAGGUUUUUGGCUAUGAUUUUGGUGCAAGUUUUGUAUGGUUUGGAGUUUAUAUGAAGGAGAUACAUGCGCUCAAAGUAAAGGUAUUGAUUUAGGAGCUACUGUCACUCUUUUUGGCAUAAUGCAUGCGUACGAAUAGCAAUUGAGGAUCGGCAAUAGCGACUGGAGAGAGCACUUUUGCGGCUACACUUUUCACAUACUGCUUAUUGGAUUGCAAGUUGAAGUGAAGGAGUUAUUGGAUUUUGAAGUCAGCACAUGCAAUCUAAGGGUAGUAAGUAACCGAUUUGCUAGUAGUUGUCUCUUGAGCUAUAUCUUGAGCAAUUUGAUAAGGUUUUGGCUCAAAAUUUCAGGGAAUGUGUAAUUUCAUGUUAGUAAACUUUGUACAUAAGAUUUAUGACAUUUGAGUAUUGGGUUCUUGAGAUAUUAAGAUAAUAGUGUUCGGGUGCUUGUAAAUUAGGGUUUAAAGUAUCUGCUAGGGUUUCUUAGAUGCCAAAAGAUCGGGAGUGAAUUUGCGGUUGGUUUUUUUUGUGAUAAAAUUUAAGGGUGAACUCUACCUACCCUAUAAAUUUGAGACAAACUGAACGGUUAGAUCAAGAGUUAUGAUUUUCU
RNAcentral lists this long non-coding RNA (723 nucleotides) under Physcomitrium patens. Its description in RNAcentral is "long non-coding RNA (PPAT_LNC011907)". The record is from RNAcentral. Lineage: Eukaryota; Viridiplantae; Streptophyta; Bryopsida; Funariales; Funariaceae.